RNAcentral lists this ribosomal RNA (253 nucleotides) under uncultured bacterium. RNAcentral's name for it is "partial 16S ribosomal RNA". It matches the Rfam family "Bacterial small subunit ribosomal RNA", at positions 524 to 776 of the family's 1533-position model. The record is from RNAcentral.
UACGAAGGGGGCUAGCGUUGUCCGGAUUUAUUGGGCGUAAAGAGCUCGUAGGCGGCUUGUCGCGUCGGCUGUGAAAUCCCGUGGCUCAACUGCGGGUCUGCAGCCGAUACGGGCAGGCUAGAGUUCGGUAGGGGAGACUGGAAUUCCUGGUGUAGCGGUGAAAUGCGCAGAUAUCAGGAGGAACACCGAUGGCGAAGGCAGGUCUCUGGGCCGAUACUGACGCUGAGGAGCGAAAGCGUGGGGAGCGAACAGG